UACGGGGGGGGUAAGCGUUGUUCGGAAUUACUGGGCGUAAAGGGCUCGUAGGCGGCCAACUAAGUCAGACGUGAAAUCCCUCAGCUUAACUGGGGAACUGCGUCUGAUACUGGAUGGCUUGGAUUCGGGAGAGGAAUGCGGAAUUCCAGGUGUAGCGGUGAAAUGCGUUGAUAUCCACAGGAACUCCGGUGGCGAAGGCGGCACGCUGGACCCCACCUGACGCUGAGGCGCGAAAGCGUGGGGAGCGAACAGG
Molecule: ribosomal RNA, 253 nt
Filed under: uncultured bacterium
Lineage: Bacteria
Description: partial 16S ribosomal RNA
Rfam family: Bacterial small subunit ribosomal RNA
Source: RNAcentral